GACGAACGCUGGCGGCGUGCCUAAUACAUGCAAGUCGAGCGAAUCUUUGGGAGCUUGCUCCCAAAGAUUAGCGGCGGACGGGUGAGUAACACGUGGGCAACCUGCCUAUAAGACUGGGAUAACUUCGGGAAACCGGAGCUAAUACCGGAUAAUCCUUUUCCUCUCAUGAGGGGAAGCUGAAAGACGGUUUCGGCUGUCACUUAUAGAUGGGCCCGCGGCGCAUUAGCUAGUUGGGAGGUAACGGCUCACCAAGGCGACGAUGCGUAGCCGACCUGAGAGGGUGAUCGGCCACACUGGGACUGAGACACGGCCCAGACUCCUACGGGAGGCAGCAGUAGGGAAUCUUCCGCAAUGGACGAAAGUCUGACGGAGCAACGCCGCGUGAACGAUGAAGGCUUUCGGGU
This 404-nucleotide ribosomal RNA is filed under the name uncultured bacterium. RNAcentral's name for it is "bacterial SSU rRNA". It matches the Rfam family "Bacterial small subunit ribosomal RNA", at positions 28 to 423 of the family's 1533-position model. The record is from RNAcentral.